RNAcentral lists this unclassified non-coding RNA (345 nucleotides) under soil metagenome. Its description in RNAcentral is "partial contains 5.8S ribosomal RNA, internal transcribed spacer 2, and large subunit ribosomal RNA". The stretch from base 1 to 120 matches the Rfam family "5.8S ribosomal RNA", at positions 35 to 154 of the family's 154-position model. The record is from RNAcentral.
GAUGAAGAACGUAGCGAAAUGCGAUAAGUAAUGCGAAUUGCAGAAUUCCGUGAAUCAUCGAAUCUUUGAACGCACAUUGCGCCCUCUGGUAUUCCGGGGGGCAUGCCUGUCCGAGCGUCAUUUGCAACCCUCAAGCCCGGCUUGUGUGAUGGGUGCCGUCCCCUACGGGACGCGCCCCGAAGGCAAUGGCGGCGUCGCGGUUAUCCGAUCAGCCAAAGUGUAUGGGGCUUUGUCACUCACUUUACGGCCCGGACCGGCGCCAGUCCGAAUCAAUCUUUUUUCUAAAGUUGACCUCGGAUCAGGUAGGGAUACCCGCUGAACUUAAGCAUAUCAAUAAGCGGAGGA